This 253-nucleotide ribosomal RNA is filed under the name uncultured bacterium. RNAcentral describes it as "partial 16S ribosomal RNA". It matches the Rfam family "Bacterial small subunit ribosomal RNA", at positions 524 to 776 of the family's 1533-position model. The record is from RNAcentral.
UACGAAGGGGGCUAGCGUUGCUCGGAAUCACUGGGCGUAAAGCGCACGUAGGCGGAUCUUUAAGUCAGGGGUGAAAUCCUGGAGCUCAACUCCAGAACUGCCCUUGAUACUGGCGGUCUCGAGUCCGGGAGAGGUGAGUGGAACUGCGAGUGUAGAGGUGAAAUUCGUAGAUAUUCGCAAGAACACCAGUGGCGAAGGCGGCUCACUGGCCCGGUACUAACGCUGAGGUGCGAAAGCGUGGGGAGCAAACAGG